Molecule: small nuclear RNA, 171 nt
Organism: Callithrix jacchus (white-tufted-ear marmoset)
Lineage: Eukaryota; Metazoa; Chordata; Mammalia; Primates; Cebidae
Gene: U1
Rfam family: U1 spliceosomal RNA
About the family: U1 is a small nuclear RNA (snRNA) component of the spliceosome (involved in pre-mRNA splicing).
Source: Ensembl
ACUCGCACCUGGCAGAGGAGAUGCCCUGAUCACAAAGAGGGUUUUCUCAGGGUGAGACAUGGAUUGCAUGCUGGGUCUGUUGAUCCGCACGGUUUUCCCAGAUAUUUGAAACCUAUAUAUGCAGAAACUGCAUGGUUUGUGGCUGAGAGGGGCUGCAUCUGCACUCUCUCC